This 468-nucleotide ribosomal RNA is filed under the name uncultured bacterium. RNAcentral's name for it is "partial 16S ribosomal RNA". It matches the Rfam family "Bacterial small subunit ribosomal RNA", at positions 28 to 507 of the family's 1533-position model. The record is from RNAcentral.
GACGAACGCUGGCGGCGUGCUUAACACAUGCAAGUCGAACGGAAAGGCCCUGCUUUUGUGGGGUGCUCGAGUGGCGUACGGGUGAGUAACACGUGAGUAACCUGCCCUUGACUUUGGGAUAACUUCAGGAAACUGGGGCUAAUACCGGAUAGGAGCUCCUGCUGCAUGGUGGGGGUUGGAAAGUUUCGGCGGUUGGGGAUGGACUCGCGGCUUAUCAGCUUGUUGGUGGGGUAGUGGCUUACCAAGGCUUUGACGGGUAGCCGGCCUGAGAGGGUGACCGGCCACAUUGGGACUGAGAUACGGCCCAGACUCCUACGGGAGGCAGCAGUGGGGAAUAUUGCACAAUGGGCGGAAGCCUGAUGCAGCAACGCCGCGUGCGGGAUGACGGCCUUCGGGUUGUAAACCGCUUUCGCCUGUGACGAAGCGUGAGUGACGGUAAUGGGUAAAGAAGCACCGGCUAACUACGUG